Molecule: long non-coding RNA, 3070 nt
Filed under: Homo sapiens (human)
Lineage: Eukaryota; Metazoa; Chordata; Mammalia; Primates; Hominidae
Description: HSALNT0135669
Source: RNAcentral
GUGCCUAACAAGCCCUGGGGUUCGGUAGCAGCUGCUUAGAGCUCCUCCCCGGGAGGCUCCGGAGGGGAAUUUUCCACUGCCCCGUUCAAUUUACCAGGACAAUUUAGCUCAGCUAUACCGCGGCCUUGACUAUUUACAGUGGGGAGCGCAGGGCGGUGGAGGAGCCCUCUAAGAGUCCGUGCAAGAGGGCCGCGGCCCAGCUAGAAGGGUCUGCAGGGGGCAAGGAUGUCUGAGAUGCCCAGCGUGGGUGAGUGCACCCUCCCUCCCUGGCUCUGCUCCUCCCCCUCCCCGGAACCACCACCCCCUCAGCCCUGAGCUGCCGAUGCCCUCGGGGUUCUGUUUUCAUUCCAGGCUGUGGAUCCGGUCGUGGGAAGCAGGUUUCUGUACCUUGACCCUCCAUAGAGUGAACUUCUAGGUUCUGAGCUGACUCCUUGGAAACCCUAGACUCCAGGGACGCGCUUCUAGAACCUGCUCAGAUUGCUACUCAGUUAACAGCCUGGCCCAGGAGGAUUGCAACACCCAGCCUGGCUCCCAGGCAAGCUAAAGAGGGCUUGAUGAUGGGAAGAGGUUAAGGGGUACGUGGAGAGAAAGAAGGAUCAGAAGGCGGAAACAUCAUAGACCUCCUGGGAUGCCUUCUGCAGGAUCACAGAGAAGGCAAAAUUUGUCCUCCUGACUACAAGAUGCCAAGAUACAUUUGUAUCGAGCCACUGAAUUCUCUACCCCUUCUGUAGAGGUGGUUGGGGAAGAGCUGCAGUAGGAAGCUGGGUCCCAAGUAAUGAAGGACCUUUAGAAGCAGAAGGUGUUAGGGUGGGGGCAAAGGACUGAACUCUGACCAACCAGAAGAAAGGAAAAACUGGAGUUCCUUUCCCCUAGGUCUGCCUUUCUUUCUCAGGGUCUCUAUUUACUUCUCAUGCACUUGACUCUCUGCUUCCCUCUCCCUCAUUUCCACAAAGGGGCCCAAGCUUCACAUGCAUCUCGCACCCCCGCACCUUGUGGGCAGGAAAUCUGAGCACAGGCAUUUCCUGUACGCUGAUAAAUGCCCACUGCAAAGAGCCCCAGCCUGAAGGUGGCCCUGUCUCCUAGUUAUGUCCCUCCACAUCCUUAUCUCCCCAGGCUCCAGCCCUCACCAGCAGGGACUCAACAAACGCCAUCUGUCAGAUGAGUCAUGGGACCAGAAGCUUGGGAGAAGACAUGCAGAGCCAACCACUAACAAAACUGGCAAAUGAAAUAAAUGCCCAGAAACCUGCUCCAUCCCCAGCAUUCCUUAAGUCCUAUAAAUUGCACCACCUUUUACCAGUUUUCAGAAACUAAAAGUCAUCCUUGACAUCCGUCCAAUCAAUCACCUCCUAUUUAUCUCCCAAAUUCAUUCUUUUUUCUUUUUGAAACAGAGUUUUUACUCUUGUUGCCCAGGCUGAAGUGCAAUGGCACGAUCUCAGCUCCCUGCAACCUCCGCCUCCCAGGUUCAAGCCAUUCUCCUGCCUCAGCUUUCCUGAGUAGCUGGGAUUACAGGCAUGCGCCACUACGCCUGGCUAAUGUUGUAUUUUUAGUAGAGAUGGGGUUUCUCCAUGUUGGUCAGGCUGGUCUUGAAUUCCCAACCUGAGGUGAUCCACCCACCUUGGCCUCCCAAAGUGCUGGGACUACAGGUGUGAGCCAUUACACCCGGCAAAUUCAUUUUUAUAAUCUUGCCACCCCCACAACCACUGCCCUCAUGGACCCUGGGCACGCCUCACCCGAAUUACAGAAAUUCCCUCCCAGCUGGUAAAACUGUUUGUGUGUGGCUCUCCUUCAUUCCAUCCUCCCUGGUUUAGCCAGAGAAAUAAUUCUAAAAUGUACACAUCCCAAAGCAUCUCAUUUUCCUGCAUGCAGUCUUUCAUCAUCCAUUCACUAACUGGAGGACAACAUCUGAAUUUAUUAGUGAGCAUACAAAGGCUUUUCAUCCGCUGAACCCAGCGCAUCUGCUACCAUUUCCCUGGUCUCCGGUCAGAACUAGUGACUGUCCCAUAAACAGGUUCUGCUGGACUUCCAGUCAAGAUGGAGCGGUGAGUUCUCUGUUCCAACCACAAACCAGCAGUAAAUAAAACAUUUUCGCAUAUAACCCAACACACACAGUUGGGCUGAAAAACAAGGCAAGCUUUCUGUGAACCAGAAGCAAGAACAGAGCCCAAAAUCACUAAAUGGGGCUGUGACUGACAUGCUGCUGGGCUCUGAGUCCCAAAGGGUUUUAGAGAAGCCAGGAGCCCAGUUACCUUAGAAAGGGCAGUGACUAAGAUGAACACCAGGGGUCUUCUGGAGGCCAAGAAUGUUCUUUUUGUGCUCUGGGGGUUUAUUACACAGGAGCAUUCACUUUGUGAAAACUCAUUGAGGUGCCCCUUUACGAUUCAUGUGCGUUUCUGUAUAUCUGUUAUAUUUCAAUAGAAAUGUUUACUUGAAAAACUUUGUCCUGGGAGAAAGCCCAGAGGAAGACCCUACUUUUAGAUGCUGGAGACCAGGGUAGGGUGAGGUAAAGUGGGGUGGAAAUAGAGCACAGCCUCAAAGUGAGGACCCAUGCCAAGCCACCCACAGCUCCUCAUCUGGAUUGGCAUCAUUCUGGCACAGAAUAAGGAACCAUGAAAUAACACGUAAGAGCUGGCGCUGGAACAGCGGCUUAGGAAAAUGGGUGGAGGCAACCACAAAACUAUAAACUGUGCAUUCAGGAAGAGAAGAAAAAAAGACAAAAACAAAACAAAUCAAAGGGGGAAAACUGCCACUAGAAAUGGAUCUGCAAAUCAAAAUUCCAAAACACAUUUUAACAAUGAAAAAGUCUAAUGCUAAGAAAGACAGUAAAAUCAAUAAACAACAUUAAUUCAUUCCAGUUGACAUCAGUUUUAUAGAGCAGAAGUCAUAAAAAUCUACCAAUUUUAUAGACUAGUACUAAAAUCUAUCAGUUUCAUAGAGGAUAGGUUUUGAAGUAUAUAUACAUUUACAUUUCUCAAAGAAAUCAUAAAAACAUAUUAAAAAUAAGCAAUAAAUAUUAGAUGAAAAUAGGAAUGGAACAAGAAGAAGUGGGAAUAAAAAAGAUUAGGAAGGCCAG